This is a transfer RNA of Fonticula alba, 72 nucleotides long. It matches the Rfam family "tRNA". From Rfam's summary of the family: Transfer RNA (tRNA) molecules are approximately 80 nucleotides in length. NCBI's taxonomy places the organism in Eukaryota, Rotosphaerida, Fonticulaceae. The record is from Rfam.
GCCCUCUUAGCUCAGUGGUAGAGCGUCGCUCUCGUAAAGCGAAGGCCGGGUGUUCAAUCCACCCAGUGGGCA